CACCAUUUGCCCCGCAUUGCGCAGGGUACAUGAUGGGGCCGAAACAGCAUCGACGUGUGUUGAAAGACGGUGUGUUUACCCGGCCUGAAUGAGCCGUAAAACCGUUCAAAACCUAUAAGUGCCAACGAUAACGAAGCACUUGCUCUGGCUGCAUAACUAAGGGCCUUCGUGGCCUGAAGUUAUCCAAAUAGAACACGGUGGAGACUGCGCCGGGUAACAGAAGCAGAAACCGGCGGCCUGGGGGUGCCGAGCAACAGAAACCCCCACC
Molecule: transfer-messenger RNA, 268 nt
Filed under: Alphaproteobacteria bacterium PA3
Lineage: Bacteria; Pseudomonadati; Pseudomonadota; Alphaproteobacteria
Description: partial transfer-messenger RNA
Rfam family: Alphaproteobacteria transfer-messenger RNA (bases 1-231)
About the family: Bacterial tmRNA, also known as 10Sa RNA or SsrA, is named for its dual tRNA and mRNA-like properties. Its role is to liberate the mRNA from a stalled ribosome.
Source: RNAcentral